CCAAUAGCGUAUAUUAAAGUUGUUGCAGUUAAAAAGCUCGUAGUUGAAUUUCGGGAUCAAUAUGUCUGUCGUGCCUUCGGUACGUACGGGUAUAAUUGGUUUCUACCUUCUGAUGAACCUUGAUGCCAUUAAUUUGGUGUCUUGGGGACUCAGGACUGUUACCUUGAAAAAAUUAGAGUGUUUAAAGCAGGCAUACGCUUGAAUACAUUAGCAUGGAAUAAUGAAAUAGGACGUUCGAUUCUAUUUUGUUGGUUUCUAGGAUCGACGUAAUGAUUAAUAGGGAUAGUUUGGGGCAUUAGUAUUCAAUUGUCAGAGGUGAAAUUCUUGGAUUUAUUGAAGACUAACUACUGCGAAAGCAUUUGCCAAGGAUGUUUUCAUUAAUCAAGAACGAAAGUUAGGGGAUCGAAGACGAUCAGAUACCGUCGUAGUCUUAACCAUAAACUAUGCCGACUAGGGAUCGGAUGAUGUUAAUUUUUUAAUGACUCAUUCGGCGCCUUACG
This 500-nucleotide ribosomal RNA is filed under the name uncultured Glomeromycotina. RNAcentral's name for it is "partial small subunit ribosomal RNA". It matches the Rfam family "Eukaryotic small subunit ribosomal RNA", at positions 591 to 1092 of the family's 1831-position model. The record is from RNAcentral. Lineage: Eukaryota; Fungi; Glomeromycota.